Molecule: ribosomal RNA, 750 nt
Filed under: Bifidobacterium breve
Lineage: Bacteria; Bacillati; Actinomycetota; Actinomycetes; Bifidobacteriales; Bifidobacteriaceae
Description: bacterial SSU rRNA
Rfam family: Bacterial small subunit ribosomal RNA
Source: RNAcentral
CAUGCAAGUCGAACGGGAUCCAGGCAGCUUGCUGCCUGGUGAGAGUGGCGAACGGGUGAGUAAUGCGUGACCGACCUGCCCCAUGCACCGGAAUAGCUCCUGGAAACGGGUGGUAAUGCCGGAUGCUCCAUCACACCGCAUGGUGUGUUGGGAAAGCCUUUGCGGCAUGGGAUGGGGUCGCGUCCUAUCAGCUUGAUGGCGGGGUAACGGCCCACCAUGGCUUCGACGGGUAGCCGGCCUGAGAGGGCGACCGGCCACAUUGGGACUGAGAUACGGCCCAGACUCCUACGGGAGGCAGCAGUGGGGAAUAUUGCACAAUGGGCGCAAGCCUGAUGCAGCGACGCCGCGUGAGGGAUGGAGGCCUUCGGGUUGUAAACCUCUUUUGUUAGGGAGCAAGGCAUUUUGUGUUGAGUGUACCUUUCGAAUAAGCACCGGCUAACUACGUGCCAGCAGCCGCGGUAAUACGUAGGGUGCAAGCGUUAUCCGGAAUUAUUGGGCGUAAAGGGCUCGUAGGCGGUUCGUCGCGUCCGGUGUGAAAGUCCAUCGCUUAACGGUGGAUCCGCGCCGGGUACGGGCGGGCUUGAGUGCGGUAGGGGAGACUGGAAUUCCCGGUGUAACGGUGGAAUGUGUAGAUAUCGGGAAGAACACCAAUGGCGAAGGCAGGUCUCUGGGCCGUUACUGACGCUGAGGAGCGAAAGCGUGGGGAGCGAACAGGAUUAGAUACCCUGGUAGUCCACGCCGUAAACGGUG